UUGACUUUUCUCAACGAAUAUACGUUUCGAAACGACAUAGAGUAAAUACUUAAUACGAAACAACAAAGGUAUUAGUCAUUGUCAACAUAAAUUGUGAAUUACGUAUUGCUGCUACGGAUUAACGUGCUUACAUGAAGUAAUAAAUGCAAUCAAAGACCCAAAAUACAGUUAGAAUUUACUGAGGUCGUAGUGAAUAUCAGCUGCUGCAGUAGCCACCAGAAAGAUCGCGGGAGGCGCACAUCGGCACGGCGCGUCACGGACGGUAGUUGCCGCAAAUAGAGUCCCGUCCACCAGAGGGCACACGAGAAUUUGGCCGCGAUCUCUGCCAGCGGAACAACAAGAACAACUCAGGCAGCAUGGGCCGGGUCCAGUGAGUUCACAUCGGGAAUGCCUAUGAGACAGUUCCCGGUCUACUCAGAAGUGCGACGGAAAACGUGAACCGUGUUACUACAGAAUUGGGGCGUGUCGAUGUGCGCCUCCUGUGAUCUUUCUGGUGGCUACUGCAGCUGCUAUAUUAUUUGCUGAUUGCACACUCAACUUAAGACAGUAAAAUCAAAGAUAUCUUGCCAUUAUUUUCCCAAAUCUCAUCAAUAUUACUAAUCGCCCAAACAUAUAUAAGACAAUUUUGCAUCACAUUUUUUCUGAAAUAACUUUUAAACAUCAUUUGUUUCCAUCUUCUGAUAUCUUAUUUGUAUACUCAAGAUUUAGAAAUUCUGUCAUGUAAUGUAGGCUGUAUACAGUGCUUAUAAUUGUGUUAUUCAACAAAUGACUAAGCAUCCUUCAGCACAGAAACUUAUACAAUGGUAAAGAUGUAGAAGAUGGAUGACCAAAACUGAGAGAGAAUUCUAGGACAGAAAAGAUGUAGAUGUUGGAUAACCAUCCUGGAACAGAACCGUAGGACAAGAAAGAUGUAGAUGAUGGGUGACCAAGCUGGGACAGAAUGCCAAGACAGGAAAGAUGUAGAAAUGAGUGGACCAGGAAGCAAAGAAUCAUUACACCAAGAUAUUGCCAUAUAGUUGUGGAAAACUGAAGAAUCCUCCCCCCUGGCUCCUCUCUUUCAGGCACUACCUAUCAAAUAUAAUUCAAGCUGAGGAGACAAAAGACUGUGGUGACGAAAGCUAGAGGGUUUUAGUUCUCCACUAAGAAUAGGUGUGCUCGGUUGUCUUGGACACUCCUAAUGUCCCCUGUGACAGGUCAGCCAGCAGCGACAAAGUCAUUAGUAUCGG
Long non-coding RNA from Schistocerca piceifrons (Central American locust), 1226 nucleotides. RefSeq lists it as uncharacterized. NCBI's taxonomy places the organism in Eukaryota, Metazoa, Arthropoda, Insecta, Orthoptera, Acrididae. The record is from RefSeq and is a predicted model, not a curated record. The transcript has 4 exons.